GCGAGAGUGGCGGAACUGGUAGACGCGCCAGACUUAGGAUCUGGUGCCGCAAGGUGUGGGGGUUCGAGUCCCCCCUCUCGCACCA
Molecule: transfer RNA, 85 nt
Filed under: Nitrospirota bacterium
Lineage: Bacteria; Pseudomonadati; Nitrospirota
Description: Nitrospirae bacterium tRNA-Leu
Rfam family: tRNA
About the family: Transfer RNA (tRNA) molecules are approximately 80 nucleotides in length. Their secondary structure includes four short double-helical elements and three loops (D, anti-codon, and T loops).
Source: RNAcentral